AUCCGACUGACGAGUCCCAAAUAGGACGAAACGCGCGUCCUGGAU
This is a non-coding RNA of Schistosoma mattheei, 45 nucleotides long. The record is from Rfam. Lineage: Eukaryota; Metazoa; Platyhelminthes; Trematoda; Strigeidida; Schistosomatidae.